Molecule: ribosomal RNA, 506 nt
Filed under: uncultured bacterium
Lineage: Bacteria
Description: partial 16S ribosomal RNA
Rfam family: Bacterial small subunit ribosomal RNA
Source: RNAcentral
AGUGAACGCUGGCGGUAGGCCUAACACAUGCGAGUCGAACGGCAGCACAGAGGAGCUUGCUCCUUGGGUGGCGAGUGGCGGACGGGUGAGGAAUACAUCGGAAUCUACUCUGUCGUGGGGGAUAACGUAGGGAAACUUACGCUAAUACCGCAUACGACCUACGGGUGAAAGCAGGGGAUCUUCGGACCUUGCGCGAUUGAAUGAGCCGAUGUCGGAUUAGCUAGUCGGCGGGGUAAAGGCCCACCAAGGCGACGAUCCGUAGCUGGUCUGAGAGGAUGAUCAGCCACACUGGAACUGAGACACGGUCCAGACUCCUACGGGAGGCAGCAGUGGGGAAUAUUGGACAAUGGGCGCAAGCCUGAUCCAGCCAUACCGCGUGGGUGAAGAAGGCCUUCGGGUUGUAAAGCCCUUUUGUUGGGAAAGAAAUCCAUCUGGUUAAUACCCGGGUGGGAUGACGGUACCCAAAGAAUAAGCACCGGCUAACUUCGUGCCAGCAGCCGCCGCCG